CCUACGGGCGGCAGCAGUCGAGAAUCAUUCACAAUGGGGGAAACCCUGAUGGUGCGACGCCGCGUGGGGGAAUGAAGGUCUUCGGAUUGUAAACCCCUGUCAUGUGGGAGCAAAUUAAAAAGAUAGUACCACAAGAGGAAGAGACGGCUAACUCGGUGCCAGCAGCCGCGGUAAUACAGAGGUCUCAAGCGUUGUUCGGAAUCACUGGGCGUAAGGCGGGCGGAGGCUGUUUCGUAAGUCGUGUGUGAAAGGCGCGGAGUCAACCCGCAGACGGGACAUGAUACUGCGAGACUAGAGGAAUGGAGGGGGAACCGGAAUUCUCGGGGGAGGAGUGAAAUGCG
This 341-nucleotide ribosomal RNA is filed under the name uncultured bacterium. RNAcentral describes it as "partial 16S ribosomal RNA". It matches the Rfam family "Bacterial small subunit ribosomal RNA", at positions 338 to 690 of the family's 1533-position model. The record is from RNAcentral.